Molecule: long non-coding RNA, 1622 nt
Organism: Macaca fascicularis (crab-eating macaque)
Lineage: Eukaryota; Metazoa; Chordata; Mammalia; Primates; Cercopithecidae
Source: Ensembl
AUGUUGCUCUCAGAUAAACAGUGCAGCAAUGGGUGCUGCAGAGGUAGCAGAGCCUCAUGGCAAGCAUCCAAACAGACCUGGGUUUGGGAUCCGGCUCCGACACUCAGUCCCUCCAGGCAGGAUGCCCCGGUGCCUCCUAUCUUCAUCUUCAGUUCCCUCAUUGAUACAACGGGGAUAAAGAAAGUAACUACCUCCUCAUGCCAGUGUGAGAAAGGAAUGACAACUUGUGUUGAGAAGAACUGAGAACAGUGUCUGGCAUGCAAGAAGUAUUCAAUUGAUGUUAGGCAUCGCCAUCAUUACAAGAGGAGCCAAUGACAUUUGUUGAGAACUGUUCAGGCUAGACUCUAUACUAGACACUUGAGAUACAAGACAGCAACACCAGAUGAGGCCUCUGGACCCAGAAUUUAAAGUCCAGAGGGAAGUAGAGACUUUCAUUAAAUAAUCAUGCACAUAGACAGGAAUUAUCACUGUGACGAUUACCUGAAAUGGAGGUGCAUUGUAUUAAGAGAGGAGAAGUGGGAGCCUUAACCUGGUUUAACAGACCAGGGAAGCCUUCCCUCAGGAGGAGAGAUUUCAUCUGAGAUCUCAGGGAUGAAUGAAAGUAAUUCAGGUUAGGGGGUUAGGGCAGGGAGGUCCCAGGCAGAGGACACUGCGCAUGUGGGAAAUGACCAGGGCCCAUUUAAGGAACUGAAAGAAGGCCCAGGUGGCCAGGGCAGGUGAGGGUGGAGGAGCAGAAGGAGGCCAAAUCCUAGGGAGACCACAAGCUCUGCUGAGCAGCAUUGUCUCCAUCCCAAAACUGAGGGGGAACUAGUGAUGAUUUGUAAGUCUGGGGAAGGAGGUGAUGAGCAUUCUGGAUGCAAUGUGUAGAAUGGAUUAGAAAGGAGCAGACACGGAUGGGGCAGGGACAGUCGGAAGUGCACUGCAUCAGACCAGGUAUGAACAAGAGCAGCUUUGUCUAAAGCACUAGAUGAUGGCAACGGGCACGGACACCCACUCCUGGAUUGUAGAGUUUUAGGAAAUACAAGCCACAGAACUUGGUGGUGAUGGGAACAGGGGAAGCAGAGUUUUCAAACCUGACCUCUUGAUUCCUGGUUCUGUUUCUGCAUGGACAUAGUGUCAAUGGAGGAGAAAGGACAUACUGAACUCAGGCCUGGUUGAAGAGCGCAGUCAUGGGUUCUGCUGGGGAAGCAGCAUCACACAUUAGCUCAUUGUUCUAGAGUGAAACUGCCUGGACUCCAAUCCCAUAUCCAUUCCUGACAGUCAAUGUGACUUGAAACUCUCUAAGCUUAAUUUCAUUAACAAUUCCCACCCACCAACCUCACAGAGUUGACAUGAAUAUCUGAGACCAUGGACACGAAGCCAUGAGCACAGGGCCUGGCACACAGUAAUAGCUCAACACAGGCCAUGACUUUGUGAGCUGCAUGGCAUAAGCAAUCAUUGGAGGAAUCAUCUCUCCCUCUCCAAGUUUCUUCAGGUUCAGGUAAUAGAAGUUUUGCCUUCUCAGGAAAAGUAUUAAGAAGCUGCUGUCUGUCCUUCACUUCCCACUGCUCUUCCCCCACAGGAAUAAGACUGAUUUCUCUAAUUAGAGAGAUGACAAAGGCCUGACAUGUCUGAGUCCUUGU